Molecule: ribosomal RNA, 465 nt
Filed under: uncultured Klebsiella sp.
Lineage: Bacteria; Pseudomonadati; Pseudomonadota; Gammaproteobacteria; Enterobacterales; Enterobacteriaceae
Description: bacterial SSU rRNA
Rfam family: Bacterial small subunit ribosomal RNA
Source: RNAcentral
CCUACGGGGGGCUGCAGUGGGGAAUAUUGCACAAUGGGCGCAAGCCUGAUGCAGCCAUGCCGCGUGUGUGAAGAAGGCCUUCGGGUUGUAAAGCACUUUCAGCGGGGAGGAAGGCGGUGAGGUUAAUAACCUCAUCGAUUGACGUUACCCGCAGAAGAAGCACCGGCUAACUCCGUGCCAGCAGCCGCGGUAAUACGGAGGGUGCAAGCGUUAAUCGGAAUUACUGGGCGUAAAGCGCACGCAGGCGGUCUGUCAAGUCGGAUGUGAAAUCCCCGGGCUCAACCUGGGAACUGCAUUCGAAACUGGCAGGCUAGAGUCUUGUAGAGGGGGGUAGAAUUCCAGGUGUAGCGGUUAAAUGCGUAGAGAUCUGGAGGAAUACCGGUGGCGAAGGCGGCCCCCUGGACAAAGACUGACGCUCAGGUGCGAAAGCGUGGGGAGCAAACAGGAUUAGAUACCCCAGUAGUC